GACGAACGCUGGCGGCGUGCUUAACACAUGCAAGUCGAACGGAAAGGCCCUGCUUUUGUGGGGUGCUCGAGUGGCGAACGGGUGAGUAACACGUGAGUAACCUGCCCUUGACUUUGGGAUAACUUCAGGACACUGGGGCUAAUACCGGCUAGGAGCUCCUGCUGCAUGGUGGGGGUUGGAAAGUUUCGGCGGUUGGGGAUGGACUCGCGGCUUAUCAGCUUGGUGGUGGGGUAGUGGCUUACCAAGGCUUUGACGGGUAGCAGGGCUGAGAGGGUCACCGGCUACAUUGGGCUGGGGAUGCGACCCAGACUCGAACGGGAGGCAGGAGUGGAGAAGAGUGCACAAGGGGCGGAAGGCUGGUGCAGCAAAGCCGCGCGCGGGAUGAGAGCAUGCGGUUUGUAUACCGCUUUCGCCUGUGACGAAGCGUGAGUGACGGUAAUGGGUGAAGAAGCACCGGCUAACUACGUG
Molecule: ribosomal RNA, 468 nt
Filed under: uncultured bacterium
Lineage: Bacteria
Description: partial 16S ribosomal RNA
Rfam family: Bacterial small subunit ribosomal RNA
Source: RNAcentral